This 419-nucleotide long non-coding RNA is filed under the name Ananas comosus (pineapple). RNAcentral's name for it is "long non-coding RNA (ACOM_LNC025665)". Lineage: Eukaryota; Viridiplantae; Streptophyta; Magnoliopsida; Poales; Bromeliaceae. The record is from RNAcentral.
AUGUAUGUAUAGAACCAUAAUUUAUAUAUGUAUUUUGUUCUUUUCUCCUAGCUGCUCUAUACUACUGUUUAUAGUAUUGUAAGAUUAUAGGUACUUUUACUUUUCGCUUCGUAUACAGAGGAAAUACCUCUGUAUACGGUUGGUCUGUUAGCGAGCCCAGAGAAACGAGUAAUCCGGGGCGUGACAAAGUAUUAAUAAAAUGAUAUUUUAAUAAGUUAAUAAAUAAAUUAAUGAAAAUUACUAUAUGAGACAAUGAAAAUGACGCUAAUUAGUAAAUAACUAUAAAAAAACUCAAUAUGUUAAUAUUUAAUUAAUUAUUUAAUUAUUUAUAUUUUUAUUUAAUAUAUUAAUUAGAUAAAUUAAAAUAUUAAUUAUUUAAAUAGAUAUUAGUUAAUGAUUAAAUAAGCAUAUCAAAUGGC